UACGUAGGGUGCGAGCGUUGUCCGGAAUUACUGGGCGUAAAGAGCUCGUAGGUGGUUUGUCGCGUUGUCCGUGAAAACUCACAGCUUAACUGUGGGCGUGCGGGCGAUACGGGCAGACUGGAGUACUGCAGGGGAGACUGGAAUUCCUGGUGUAGCGGUGGAAUGCGUAGAUAUCAGGAGGAACACCAAUGGCGAAGGCAGAUCUCUGGGCCGUAACUGACGCUGAGGAGCGAAAGCAUGGGGAGCGAACAGG
This 253-nucleotide ribosomal RNA is filed under the name uncultured bacterium. RNAcentral describes it as "partial 16S ribosomal RNA". It matches the Rfam family "Bacterial small subunit ribosomal RNA", at positions 524 to 776 of the family's 1533-position model. The record is from RNAcentral.